This 113-nucleotide ribosomal RNA is filed under the name Mesocricetus auratus (golden hamster). The record is from RNAcentral. Lineage: Eukaryota; Metazoa; Chordata; Mammalia; Rodentia; Cricetidae.
AUCUAUGGCCAUACUACCCUGAAUGCGCCCAAUCUCAUCUGAUCUUGGAAGACACCUGUCCAGUGAGAAAUAUUAUCCUGAAGGUUAUGUUACAUUUGUUUAUGUUGAAGAAU